Molecule: ribosomal RNA, 528 nt
Filed under: Triticum aestivum (bread wheat)
Lineage: Eukaryota; Viridiplantae; Streptophyta; Magnoliopsida; Poales; Poaceae
Description: partial small subunit ribosomal RNA
Source: RNAcentral
GUUAUGGACAUGUGAAUGAAGCUGGUAUUUCAGGCUACAGCACUGAUAGCUGUGAUUCAGGCAUGGCACAUGUUGAUGCACAAGAGAGUUGUUCAUCGUGGUAAGAGGCGUGUCAUCUGUUAUGGUCCAAUGUUUAUGCGGGAUCAGGAGAGGAUGGCGAAUCUAAACUACAUCUACAACUGCAACGACACAGAGGCUCUGCGGAUGCUUCGAAUGAAAAGAACACCAUUUGUCAGGCUUGUGCAGACCUUCAGGAGCGGGCUGCUACAAGAUAGCAUGCACACCAGUGUGGAAGAGCAAGUAGCCAUGUUCCUCCAUGUUGUUGGUCAUAACCACCGAUUCAGGGUUAUGCACAACACCUUAAGGAGAUCAAUGGAGGCCAUCUCCAUGUACUUCAGGCAAGUGUUGUAUGUUCUUGGGAAACUCAGAGGAGAUAUGAUCGUGUCACCAACCGGCCGGACUCCUAUCAAGAUUUGAACUAGCCGAAGAUGGUACCCAUACUUCAAGGUGAGCACUGACAGUAUGUAG